This 295-nucleotide ribosomal RNA is filed under the name Cecropia montana. RNAcentral describes it as "partial large subunit ribosomal RNA". It matches the Rfam family "Eukaryotic large subunit ribosomal RNA", at positions 383 to 678 of the family's 3401-position model. The record is from RNAcentral. Lineage: Eukaryota; Viridiplantae; Streptophyta; Magnoliopsida; Rosales; Urticaceae.
GAGAGUCAAAGAGUGCUUGAAAUUGUCGGGAGGGAAGCGGAUGGGGGCCGGCGAUGCGCCUCGGUCGGAUGCGGAACGGCGAGAGCCGGUCCGCCGAUCGACUCGGGGCGCGGACCGAUGCGGAUUGCGGCGGCGGCCCAAGCCCGGGCUGUUGAUAUGCCUGUGGAGACGUCGUCGCCGCGAUUGUGGUAGGCAGCGCGCGCCGUCCCGGCGUGCCUCGGCAUCUGCGCGCUCCUGGCGUCGGCCCGCGGGCUCCCCAUUCGGCCCGUCUUGAAACACGGACCAAGGAGUCUGA